AUCCUCAGCCAUACCACCCUGAAUGCCCCCAUCUCGUCUGAUCUCGGAAGCUAAGCAGGGUCGGGCCUGGUUAUUACUUGGAUAGGAGACCGCCUGGGAAUACCAGGCGGUUUAGGCUU
RNAcentral lists this ribosomal RNA (119 nucleotides) under Theropithecus gelada (gelada). Lineage: Eukaryota; Metazoa; Chordata; Mammalia; Primates; Cercopithecidae. The record is from RNAcentral.